GGGGCUGUAGCUCAGCUGGGAGAGCGCCGGAAUCGCACUCCGGAGGUCAGGAGUUCGAUCCUCCUCAGCUCCA
This 73-nucleotide transfer RNA is filed under the name Myxococcales bacterium. Its description in RNAcentral is "tRNA-Ala". It matches the Rfam family "tRNA". From Rfam's summary of the family: Transfer RNA (tRNA) molecules are approximately 80 nucleotides in length. Their secondary structure includes four short double-helical elements and three loops (D, anti-codon, and T loops). The record is from RNAcentral. Lineage: Bacteria; Pseudomonadati; Myxococcota; Myxococcia; Myxococcales.